AAUAGAUACCCAGGUAGUCCUAGCCGUAAACUAUGAGCACUGGGUUGGAGGGUCCUCCAUAGCCUUCCAGCCGCAGCGAAAGUGUUAAGUGCUCCGCCUGGGGAGUAUGGUCGCAAGGCUGAAACUCGGAAAGAAAGUUGACGGGGGCUCACACAAGCGGUGGAGGAUGUGGCUUAAUUCGAGGCUACGCGAAGAACCUUAUCCUAGUCUUGACAUGCACGGAUUAACUCCUGGAAACAGGAGCCAGGCCUUCGGGUACAACGUGCACAGGUGCUGCAUGGCUGUCGUCAGCUCGUGCUGUGAAGUGUCGGGUUAAGUCCCUUAACGAGCGAAACCCUUGUCGCUAGUUGCCAGCGAGUAAUGUCGGGGACUCUAGCGAGACCGCCGGCGUUAAGCCGGAGGAAGGCGGGGAUGACGUCAAGUCCUCAUGGCCUUUAUGACUAGGGCUGCACACGUCCUACAAUGGCGCGCACAAAGGGAUGCAAAAUCGCGAGAUCAAGCAAAUCCCAAAAAACGCGCCCCAGUUCGG
RNAcentral lists this ribosomal RNA (529 nucleotides) under uncultured bacterium. RNAcentral's name for it is "bacterial SSU rRNA". It matches the Rfam family "Bacterial small subunit ribosomal RNA", at positions 777 to 1296 of the family's 1533-position model. The record is from RNAcentral.